Molecule: ribosomal RNA, 300 nt
Filed under: uncultured Oleispira sp.
Lineage: Bacteria; Pseudomonadati; Pseudomonadota; Gammaproteobacteria; Oceanospirillales; Oceanospirillaceae
Description: bacterial SSU rRNA
Rfam family: Bacterial small subunit ribosomal RNA
Source: RNAcentral
GCUUGGGAAUAUGCCUUUAGGUGGGGGACAACAGUUGGAAACGACUGCUAAUACCGCAUAUAUCCUACGGGGGAAAGCAGGGGAUCUUCGGACCUUGCGCUAUUUGAUGAGCCUGAGUGAGAUUAGCUAGUUGGUGGGGUAAAGGCCUACCAAGGCGACGAUCUCUAGCUGGUCUGAGAGGAUGAUCAGCCACACUGGGACUGAGACACGGCCCAGACUCCUACGGGAGGCAGCAGUGGGGAAUAUUGCACAAUGGGCGAAAGCCUGAUGCAGCCAUGCCGCGUGUGUGAAGAAGGCCUC